This 497-nucleotide ribosomal RNA is filed under the name uncultured bacterium. RNAcentral's name for it is "partial 16S ribosomal RNA". It matches the Rfam family "Bacterial small subunit ribosomal RNA", at positions 28 to 507 of the family's 1533-position model. The record is from RNAcentral.
GAUGAACUCUGGCGGCGUGCCUAAUACAUGCAAGUCGAGCGAACAGACGAGGAGCUUGCUCCUCUGACGUUAGCGGCGGACGGGUGAGUAACACGUGGAUAACCUACCUAUAAGACUGGGAUAACUUCGGGAAACCGGAGCUAAUACCGGAUAAUAUAUUGAACCGCAUGGUUCAAUAGUGAAAGACGGUUUUGCUGUCACUUAUAGAUGGAUCCGCGCCGCAUUAGCUAGUUGGUAAGGUAACGGCUUACCAAGGCAACGAUGCGUAGCCGACCUGAGAGGGUGAUCGGCCACACUGGAACUGAGACACGGUCCAGACUCCUACGGGAGGCAGCAGUAGGGAAUCUUCCGCAAUGGGCGAAAGCCUGACGGAGCAACGCCGCGUGAGUGAUGAAGGUCUUCGGAUCGUAAAACUCUGUUAUUAGGGAAGAACAAAUGUGUAAGUAACUAUGCACGUCUUGACGGUACCUAAUCAGAAAGCCACGGCUAACUACGUG